This 254-nucleotide ribosomal RNA is filed under the name uncultured bacterium. Its description in RNAcentral is "partial 16S ribosomal RNA". It matches the Rfam family "Bacterial small subunit ribosomal RNA", at positions 524 to 776 of the family's 1533-position model. The record is from RNAcentral.
UACGUAGGGUCCGAGCGUUGUCCGGAAUUAUUGGGCGUAAAGAGCUCGUAGGCGGUGUGUCGCGUCGGUCGUGAAAACUUGGGGCUUAACUCUGAGCUUGCGGUCGAUACGGGCAUCACUGGAGUUCGGCAGGGGAGACUGGAAUUCCUGGUGUAGCGGUGAAAUGCGCAGAUAUCAGGAGGAACACCGGUGGCGAAGGCGGGUCUCUGGGCCGAUACUGACGCUGAGGAGCGAAAGCGUGGGGAGCGAACAGG